UGAAUUAUUUAUUCAAUUUUAAGCAUUCUGCUGUAACAUAAUUAAUGUUGUUGUUGGCUUUUUCCUACGAAUUCUAUUACUAAUUUUCUCUCCUCUGUCAGCUUUUUCCUAUGACUUGGUUCCUUUUUCCUUUUAAUGCUGAUUAGACUUAUCAAAUGGAGAUCUAUUCAUGAACGGUGAUAAAAACUUGUUGAAGCAUGAAAUUAAAAUACCUACUAAGAUGACAGUUUCAUA
This 234-nucleotide unclassified non-coding RNA is filed under the name Hevea brasiliensis (rubber tree). Lineage: Eukaryota; Viridiplantae; Streptophyta; Magnoliopsida; Malpighiales; Euphorbiaceae. The record is from RNAcentral.